This is a long non-coding RNA of Anarrhichthys ocellatus (wolf-eel), 1460 nucleotides long. RefSeq lists it as uncharacterized. NCBI's taxonomy places the organism in Eukaryota, Metazoa, Chordata, Actinopteri, Perciformes, Anarhichadidae. The transcript has 3 exons. The record is from RefSeq and is a predicted model, not a curated record.
AGAUCUAUAUCUAUCUAUCUCUCUCUCACUACAUAUCGUAGUAUAAUCCACUUCUACACUGUAAGUGUACAUGUUCAGCAUGGUCCACAGUACAGGUCUUUACACAGCAUCUGUUUGUCUCCAGCUGUUUUCAGUCAUGACCAAUGCAGGCAAACACGUGCUACAAACACUAACUUUGUAUUUUUAAAUGACAAAUGGAAGCUGUGCAAAAAGUUAUACUUUGGCAUUUUGUAGCGAAUGUCAGACACGCUGUGAAUAUACAUUUCUAAACCAUAUGAUAGCUUACUUUAUCAUGUCUGUGUGUGUAUACAUAUACAUGUGUAUAUGUAUAUAUGAUUUUCGGUGUCUCAACAUCUUCUUUUGUUUCCAGUUGUAGAGGCAGAUGACUCUGAGGAUGAGGAGCAGGAGCUGGGGGGGCUGUUCCAUGUCAGCCGCCCUCAGAAGAGCAAAAAGUUCCAAUCAAAUGCGGUCGACAGCUCCCAUUUCAAUCCUGACACCUCCAACAACUGGGACUUGGAGGAGAUGCUGAACUCCAUCAGGGACUGCUUUGUUACAGGGAAGUGGGAUGAGAGCCAAGAUGCUGCCACGCUGCUGAAGGAGGACGAGGAGCUGUAUGGCGACUUUGAGGAUUUGGAAACGGGAGACGUUCACAAGGGCCAAACCGGGCAGCAGGAUCAGCCAGAGGUACGUCUUCUUAGUGAUGGACCACUGGAGCAUUAUGCAGUUAUGAUGACGCUUGUUCAUUUGAACACAGCAUCCACUGCAGUGCUGAUAUCCAGCGUUCCAGUAAUCUCUGUUAAUCUCUGUAAACUGAUUCUGCGUUCACAAUCAAGAUGACAAGCUUCUUAAAAACAACAACACUGUGUUUAUUUUUAAUUCAGUUUACAUGCAGAGAGCGGCUCAGAUGCACUGGGAGUAGUGCUGUGAUGCUGCAGUGACUGAGAUCAAUGCAAACACAGACCUCACUGCUCCCAUUGCAUCAAAUAAAGUCAACUUUUAUUAUCCUGAUUCUAUGCAUAUGUUGGUGUCUUUAUACUAUGACAGCUUUCCUCAAAUUAGAUUGACAGUUUCUCUAUGUAUCACCACAUGUUGUAUCAGGACGUGUAACGUGUAACACAGCCUGAGCAACAAAACGCUCAUUUCCUGUCUUUCCCAUUUCAACAAACUUGUGUUUAACUGGAGACGAGUCUGACAACAAGUGUUUACACGUGUUGUCUCAGAGGGAUGUGAUACAGGAAGAUGAUUGAGUUAUAUAUCCUUGGGUGAUAUGUAUGACAGGGCCACAAUGUCUAGUGUUCUGCUAGGGCUGCACCAAGUAGUUGAACGCUUCAUUCAUAAGGUUGACAAUUAUUACUAUUAUUGGUAACUUUGAAACAUUGCGAGCUAUAAUCCACUGUCCCAGUACUUAACAGACUGCCGUGUGUGUGUGUGUGUGUGUGUGUGUGUGUGUGUGUGUGUGU